Molecule: ribosomal RNA, 253 nt
Filed under: uncultured bacterium
Lineage: Bacteria
Description: partial 16S ribosomal RNA
Rfam family: Bacterial small subunit ribosomal RNA
Source: RNAcentral
UACGUAGGGGGCAAGCGUUGUCCGGAUUUAUUGGGCGUAAAGAGCGUGUAGGCGGCCUUACAGGUCAGCUGUGAAAACUCGAGGCUCAACCUCGAGACGCCGAUGGAAACCCUCAGACUAGAGUCCGGAAGAGGAGAGUGGAAUUCCUGGUGUAGCGGUGAAAUGCGCAGAUAUCAGGAAGAACACCCGUGGCUAAGGCGGCUCUCUAGUACGUGACUGACGCUGAGACGCGAAAGCGUGGGGAGCGAACAGG